Non-coding RNA from Podarcis lilfordi (Lilford's wall lizard), 73 nucleotides. Lineage: Eukaryota; Metazoa; Chordata; Lepidosauria; Squamata; Lacertidae. The record is from the annotation of a GenBank genome assembly.
GGAGCUAUAGUUCAGUGGUAGGACAACUUGCUUUGCAUGCGGAAGGUCCCAGGUUCAAUCCCCAACAUCUCCA